Molecule: long non-coding RNA, 408 nt
Filed under: Mytilus galloprovincialis (Mediterranean mussel)
Lineage: Eukaryota; Metazoa; Mollusca; Bivalvia; Mytilida; Mytilidae
Source: RNAcentral
CACGAAACAUAUAUUUACAAACAGUCAUCUAAAUGUACAUAUAGCAAUCGAAAUGAAAAAUUUAAGAUACAAAAAUAGCAAAUUGCGACACGAAUUCCAUUCACAAAGCACAUGAAUUCACACCCUGUUGUUUAUUGAUUUCGUGUGGAUCAGGUUUUUAAGUUUUAUAAGUGUUUGGAGGACUGCUCAUCCUUUUGUCGCUUGUAAGUUAUCCUUCGAGUUAUUGUCUGAAUAUUUAUCUCGGAUUUUCUAAACUACAUCGAUACAAAUUAACCAUGUAAAAUUCUGAUUGUUUUAUAAAAUUCUCUUAUAACUAAAAUGACAACUUUGUAUCACUGUUCAAAACAUGAAUUGAAUCAUACUUUUUAUUUCAACGGUUCAAAUACAUUGUUUUCAAUUUAUUACCAC